Molecule: ribosomal RNA, 452 nt
Filed under: uncultured Porphyromonadaceae bacterium
Lineage: Bacteria; Pseudomonadati; Bacteroidota; Bacteroidia; Bacteroidales; Porphyromonadaceae
Description: partial 16S ribosomal RNA
Rfam family: Bacterial small subunit ribosomal RNA
Source: RNAcentral
ACGGAAGGCAGCAGUGAGGAAUAUUGGUCAAUGGGCGGAAGCCUGAACCAGCCAAGUCGCGUGAAGGAUGAAGGUAUUAUGUAUUGUAAACUUCUUUAGCAGGGGAGCAACAGUCGCCACGCGUGGUGUUAAGAGAGUACCCUGAGAAUAAGCAUCGGCUAACUCCGUGCCAGCAGCCGCGGUAAUACGGAGGAUGCGAGCGUUAUCCGGAUUUGUUGGGUUUAAAGGGUGCGCAGGCGGUCUUUUAAGUCAGUGGUAAAUUCGUGGUGCUCAACGCCAUACGGCCAUGGAUACUGGGUGACUUGAUUGCGGUCGAGUAGGCGGAAUUCGUCGUGUAGCGGUGAAAUGCAUAGAUAUGACGAAGAACACCGAUUGCGUAGGCAGCUUACCAGGCCGUAAAUGACGCUCAUGCACGAAAGUGCGGGGAUCGAACAGGAUUAGAUACCCUGGUA